UCAAACUUGGUCAUUUAGAGGAAGUAAAAGUCGUAACAAGGUUUCCGUAGGUGAACCUGCGGAAGGAUCAUUAACGAAGCCAAAUUUAUUUUGGCAUUAAUUUCUUUCAUUCUGUGAACUUAUCUUUGCUUUGGGGUUUUAAUAAAAGGUAUUCCUUCUUGGAAUCUUUUUUUGGCGAACCCCAAAAUUUUAAACUCUAAACAUUUAUUUGAUUGUCUGACUGAUUAUAAAAAAAAUUAAUCAAAACUUUCAACAACGGAUCUCUUGGUUCUCGCAUCGAUGAAGAACGCAGC
This 293-nucleotide unclassified non-coding RNA is filed under the name uncultured fungus. RNAcentral describes it as "partial contains small subunit ribosomal RNA, internal transcribed spacer 1, and 5.8S ribosomal RNA". The stretch from base 1 to 73 matches the Rfam family "Eukaryotic small subunit ribosomal RNA", at positions 1759 to 1831 of the family's 1831-position model. Lineage: Eukaryota; Fungi. The record is from RNAcentral.